This 453-nucleotide ribosomal RNA is filed under the name uncultured bacterium. Its description in RNAcentral is "bacterial SSU rRNA". It matches the Rfam family "Bacterial small subunit ribosomal RNA", at positions 8 to 456 of the family's 1533-position model. The record is from RNAcentral.
AGAGUUUGAUCAUGGCUCAGAGUGAACGCUGGCGGCGUGCUUAACACAUGCAAGUCGAACGAGAACGGCUCUAGUUUACUAGAGUGUCAGCUAAGUGGCGCACGGGUGAGUAAUAUAUAGGUAAUGUGCCUUAGAGGAGGGAAUAAUUGUUGGAAACGACUUGUAAUGCCCUAUAUGCCCUUAAUACAUAAGUAUGCAGGGGAAAUAUUUAUAGCUCUAAGAUCAGCCUGUACGGUAUCAGCUUGUUGGUGAGGUAAUGGCUCACCAAGGCUAUGACAUCUAACUGGUCUGAGAGGAUGAUCAGUCACACUGGAACUGAGACACGGUCCAGACUCCUUCGGGAGGCAGCAGUGGGGAAUAUUGCACAAUGGACGAAAGUCUGAUGCAGCAACGCCGCGUGGAGGAUGACACAUUUAGGUGCGUAAACUCCUUUUAUAUACCAAGAUGAUGACG